UGGCACAAAUAACAAAGUGCUGAUAGUGAAGCCACAAAAUGUUAAUAUGAGGUCAUUGGGGAGGAGGAGUAUGGAACUUCUUGGUAAAGCCUGGAAAAGGCCAAAUAAGCAGAGAACACUCAAUUGCUGAAGAACCAAAAGGCAGAUUCCUUGUAGCCACUAUGGUAACAAACCAUUCUCUUCACGGUUGAUAUCAACUACCAAUAGUUGACUGGAUGGUCUUUGGGUGAUUGAAACUCAGUAUCUGCAGAGAGUCUACAUUUCUCCUAACAGAGGUUUGCAUCUAUGGAGACAGUUUGGAAACCUCAAGCAUUAGGAUACUUAUGCUGCUUUUCUCAACACAUUCUGUGAAAGGACACAGUCCAGACCAAGGUUAUGCAAGUGAGAAAAAUAAGAACCAGAAACUAAAAGAAACUAUAAAGCCAAAUUACGGAUUUUUAAAUUAAAUGUAUUGUUCAGAUUAAUCUGUUCAGAAUCAUUUUUAACAUUUAGAAUUCAAUCAUGUAUAAAUUACCAUGGAUA
Molecule: long non-coding RNA, 522 nt
Organism: Panthera uncia (snow leopard)
Lineage: Eukaryota; Metazoa; Chordata; Mammalia; Carnivora; Felidae
Exons: 3
Source: RefSeq, a predicted model, not a curated record